GUCCACGCCCUAAACUAUGGAUACUCGACAUUUGCGAUAAACUGCAAGUGUCUGAGCGAAAGCAUUAAGUAUCCCACCUGGGAAGUACGAUCGCAAGAUUGAAACUCAAAGGAAUUGGCGGGGGUACGCACAAGCGGUGGAGCAUGUGGUUUAAUUAGAUGAUACGCGAGGAACCUUACCUGGGCUAGAAUGUCAGUGGACCGUGGGUGAAAGCUCACUUUGUAGCAAUACACCGCUGAUAAGGUGCUGCAUGGCUGUCGU
This 261-nucleotide ribosomal RNA is filed under the name uncultured bacterium. Its description in RNAcentral is "partial 16S ribosomal RNA". It matches the Rfam family "Bacterial small subunit ribosomal RNA", at positions 793 to 1055 of the family's 1533-position model. The record is from RNAcentral.